AUACGUAGGGAGCAAGCGUUGUCCGGAUUUACUGGGUGUAAAGGGUGCGUAGGCGGCUUAGCAAGUCAGGCGUGAAAUAUAUGGGCUUAACCCAUAGACUGCGUUUGAAACUGUUGAGCUUGAGUGAAGUAGAGGUAGGCGGAAUUCCCGGUGUAGCGGUGAAAUGCGUAGAGAUCGGGAGGAACACCAGUGGCGAAGGCGGCCUACUGGGCAUUAACUGACGCUGAGGCACGAAAGCAUGGGUAGCAAACAGGAUUAGAUACCCUGGUAGUCCAUGCCGUAAACGAUGAUUACUAGGUGUGGGGGGUCUGACCCCUUCCGUGCCGGAGUUAACACAAUAAGCAUUCCGCCUGGGGAGUACGGCCGCAAGGUUGA
RNAcentral lists this ribosomal RNA (375 nucleotides) under uncultured bacterium. RNAcentral describes it as "bacterial SSU rRNA". It matches the Rfam family "Bacterial small subunit ribosomal RNA", at positions 523 to 897 of the family's 1533-position model. The record is from RNAcentral.